GAGAGAGAGAGUAUGUUCUGUGUGUAAUUCCCGCAGAUUCCAGAGAUCCUAAUUUUAGACCAUAAAGUGAAAAAGAAAAUACAUAGAAAAAGCAAAAGCACAAACAUCCCAUCUCUCUCUCUCUCUCCAGAAUUCUCCUCUGCCUUAUCUUUUUCUUUCUAUCUUCCUCUUAGAAGUGAAGAAAGAGAGUGUGACUGCGUCUGCGUCUGCGUACGUGUUUUGUUUGAUGCAAAUGGAGCUAGGGUUUUUACAAAACCCAUUUUUGGUCUUCACUGUACUUAUUCUUCUUCUUUUAUCUUCUAGAGGGUUGAAGCAUUCAGAUCUGAGGAUUUGAAGAUUUCUCUUUCGUGCUAUCAGUUUUGGUUCAAGUCCUCUCUUUUAACAGAUUUAAAGAUAUGUUUUUACUUUGGCUUUUAUCAGCAUCAGUUUCGACUUCUUGUUUCUCUCUUUUCAGACCCUUUUCUUCUCUCUCUUAGACUCUUAGUUAUCGGUUAAGGUUUGUUUUGCUUCUUUGAAUGUUUGGAUCACUUUCCUAUAUUUCAGUUCCCCCAAGUUUAGGUUACCUAGCAUGGCAUUUUGCAACGGCUAAUUUGAAGUUCUAAUUCCUUACUUUCAGGGCUUUUCAAAUCCAUUUGAAUCCAAACUUUGUUUAGUUCGUGGAUCAUCAAAAAACUAUACUGUUUAAGUUCAGCUUGAAAAAGAAAAUUGUAUUUUUUUGGAGAUUUGCCCUUCUCUCAAUUGACCCUACAAGAUGCAGAGGCCACCACCAGAGGAAUUUGUAUUGAAGGAGACCAAUCCCCAUUUGGGAGGGGGAAAGAUCACUGGUGACAAGCUCACCAGCACCUAUGAUCUCGUUGAGCAGAUGCAGUACCUCUAUGUCCGGGUUGUGAAGGCCAGGGACUUGCCGGCGAAAGAUGUUACGGGUAGUUGUGACCCUUAUGUGGAAGUUAAGCUGGGAAACUACAGGGGUACCACCCGGCAUUUUGAGAAGAAGACCAACCCUGAGUGGAACCAGGUGUUUGCAUUCUCAAAGGAACGUAUUCAGUCCUCGGUGCUUGAGGUAACUGUCAAGGAUAAAGAUGUUGCUAAGGAUGAUUUCAUUGGUCGUGUUUGGUUUGAUUUGAAUGAGAUACCAAAACGUGUACCGCCAGAUAGUCCAUUAGCACCCCAGUGGUAUAGAUUGGAGGAUAAAAAAGGAGAUAAAAUAAAGGGAGAAUUGAUGUUAGCUGUGUGGAUGGGUACACAAGCAGAUGAAGCUUUUCCAGAAGCAUGGCAUUCUGAUGCAGCGGCUGUAAGUGGAAUAGAUAGUCUUGCCAAUAUUCGUUCAAAGGUAUAUCUCUCCCCGAAACUCUGGUAUUUGAGGGUCAAUGUAAUUGAAGCUCAAGACUUGCAACCAACUGAUAAAGGUCGGUAUCCAGAAGUUUUUGUGAAGGUUAUUCUGGGAAAUCAAGCCUUGAGAACAAGAAUUUCGCCCGGCAGGAGUAUCAAUCCCAUGUGGAAUGAGGACCUUAUGUUUGUGGCGGCAGAACCGUUUGAGGAGCCUUUGAUCUUGAGUGUGGAAGAUAGAGUUGCAC
This 1574-nucleotide unclassified non-coding RNA is filed under the name Hevea brasiliensis (rubber tree). Lineage: Eukaryota; Viridiplantae; Streptophyta; Magnoliopsida; Malpighiales; Euphorbiaceae. The record is from RNAcentral.